UAGGGCUAAUACGUGCGAAGCGCCGAGCCGCGAGGCGACGGCGUUCUCGCCGGAUGUAGGAACCGACCCGGGGACCGCCGGGGCAACCCGGCGCCCCCGAGACGGGGCGAACCACGGUGAAAUGACGGAUCGUCGGCCCCGCGCCGGCGACUCGCCGAAUGAGUUUCUGACCUAUCAACUCGAGACGGCGGGGUAGAGGCCCGCCGCGGUAACGACGGGUAACGGGGAAUCAGGGUUCGAUUCCGGAGAGGGAGCCCGAGAAACGGCUACCACUUCCAAGGAAGGCAGCAGGCGCGCAACUUACCCUAAUCUCGAUUCGAGGAGGUAGUGACAGAAAUACCGAUGCGGGACCCUACGGGUGCCGCGUUCGGAAUGAGUACGAUUCGAACCACCUAACGAGGAACGAUCGGAGGGCAAGUCUGGUGCCAGCAGCCGCGGUAAUUCC
This 445-nucleotide ribosomal RNA is filed under the name uncultured eukaryote. Its description in RNAcentral is "bacterial SSU rRNA". It matches the Rfam family "Eukaryotic small subunit ribosomal RNA", at positions 159 to 586 of the family's 1831-position model. The record is from RNAcentral.